This is a non-coding RNA of Firmicutes bacterium CAG:321, 74 nucleotides long. Lineage: Bacteria; Bacillati; Bacillota. The record is from Rfam.
GUCUUGGUAGCUCAGCUGGAUAGAGCAAUCGCCUUCUAAGCGAUCGGUCUGGAGUUCGAAUCUCCACCAGGACA